Molecule: unclassified non-coding RNA, 220 nt
Filed under: plant metagenome
Description: partial contains small subunit ribosomal RNA, internal transcribed spacer 1, and 5.8S ribosomal RNA
Source: RNAcentral
UUUCCGUAGGCGAACCUGCGGAAGGAUCAUUACAGAGUUCAUGCCCUCACGGGUAGAUCUCCCACCCUUGAAUAUUUAUACCUUAGUUGCUUUGGCAGGCCGUGGAAACACCAUGGGCUCCGGCUUAUGCGUGCCUGCCAGAGGAAACAAACUCUGUUAUUAGUGAUGUCUGAGUACUAUAUAAUAGUUAAAACUUUCAACAACGGAUCUCUUGGUUCUG